Non-coding RNA from Callithrix jacchus (white-tufted-ear marmoset), 1929 nucleotides. NCBI's taxonomy places the organism in Eukaryota, Metazoa, Chordata, Mammalia, Primates, Cebidae. The record is from RefSeq and is a predicted model, not a curated record.
ACCCUGUCCCGAACUCGCAAGGAAAUGACCGGAGCCCACCGGGAUCUGGGGAAGCCCUGUGACUGUGACUCCUGCACAGAACGAGCUGAGACUCUGGGGAUAGAAGUGGAGUUUUGCCACCCCUACGGUUUCUGGUGACAAGGGUGAAAUCCUCUCAAGCCUGAAGAUGGGAUCCUGGGAGAAGAAAUAAAAGCUGGCAGAAGGUAGGAAUUUUUACCCAAGUGAACUCUCCAGGAUCUCUGUCUGUAGUCCCUGGUUAAAAGAGGAGGGUAAAAUUUUUCCUUGUCCCUUUCCAAAUUCAAACUGGCAGGAGAAAACCACUUUUAAGAAUUGAUUCUUUGAGUUGUGACUCUUGUGUCAACCUUAAAUGAUGAGAUUCAGAAAAUAUCAGCUAGGCACAUUGGCUCAUCCUUGUAAUCCCAGCACUUUGGGAGGCCAAGGUGGGAGGAUCACUUGAGCCCAGGAGUUUGAGGCUACAGUGAGCUGUAAUUGCAUCACUGCACUCCAGUCUGGGUGACAGAGUGAGACUUAGUUUCAAAAAAAAAAACAAAAAAACAAAAAAACACCGAAAACCAAAAACAAACAAAAGGAAAUACGAUUUUUAUUCUAGUGCAAAGCUCCAGAUGGACACCCAGGAAACAGCUUCCAAAGGGCUGAGAUCAUUAUUCCAAAAUGGAGAAGCUAAGGUUUCACUCAUAGGGGCAGAAACAGUGUCAGCAGGAUUGCAACAUCUUCUGUACAAAUCCAGUGUUAUAUUUGAUUAGUACAACUUGCUACAUUCCAAGGAAAAUUGUUUCAACAUUCCGGGAAAAGACUCCUUCCUCGAGGGCAUCUUACAUCUGUUGCUGCUCAGUCAUUUCUAACCAUUCACAGGAAAAAGCAGAUGCAUGGAGCAUCGCAAUUGCAUGCUCCAUGCCUCAGGCCACAUGGCCACAUUCCUCCCAAGGCUCGGAAUAAUGUAAAGUUCCAACAGGUGGCUCCCACCUGUAAUCUUAGCACUUUGGGAGGCCGAGGUGGCUGGAUAACUUUAGGAAAGGAGUUCGAAACCAGCCUGGCCAACAUGGCAAAACCCCGUCUCUACUAAAUAUACAAAAAUUAGCCCAGUGUGGUUGCCGGCAUCUGUAGUUGCAGUUACUUAGGUGGCUGAGGUGGGAGGAUUGCUUGAGCCUGGGAGUUUGAGGCUGCAGUGAGCCAUGAUUGCAGCACUGCACUCCAGCCUGGGUGACAGAGGGAGACCUUGUCUCAAAAAAAAAAAAAAAAAAAAAAAAAAAAAAAGAAAAGAAAAGAAUUAUUUAAUGAUUUCACACUUCUGAAUUUGGUAUUUGGCUCUGCAUACACAGUGGCUAUUGACCCAUAGCCUCCCAGGAAAGAGGCUUGUUUUCCAUGUCUUUCUCUUUUGUCUUUCUCUUUUGUGUGGUUCAUCAUGAGGAGGAAAAUAAUAAGAUUCUCUUUUCAUCUUGUUAUGUAUUGAGAACAUGGCUCUGUGACCAGUGAAAAUACUCUCUUUGGUUUCUGCCAGCUGGAAGGGUUGGGGGGACAAGUCAUUGCUAGGCUGCUAGCCAGCUGCCCAGGAAUCAGAGACACGGUGUCUCUGUGCAAUGGUUCCAGCUCUCCAAGGAGUUUGUCCUACUUGUCUCAGCUUUCAUUGUCUUGAUAACAAUUAGGAUCUUUGCUUGCUUAGGCUAUCUUGAGAAAGACUUUGGAGCUGGAGGGGGAUUGCAUCUUUUCCAGACUGUUUGGGAUGUUCUUCUGUGUCUACAGGAAUAAAAGAUAUCCAAGUGUCUCAAGAAACAUGUCCUGGGCUGCCCAUAGUGGCUCACACCUCUAAUCCCAGCACUUUGGGAGGCUAAGGCAGGAGGAUUGAAUCAGCUCUGGGCAGCAUAGUGAGACCCCAUCUCUACAUAAAAUAAUAAAAUUAUCUGGCUGUGG